RNAcentral lists this ribosomal RNA (347 nucleotides) under uncultured bacterium. Its description in RNAcentral is "partial 16S ribosomal RNA". It matches the Rfam family "Bacterial small subunit ribosomal RNA", at positions 338 to 682 of the family's 1533-position model. The record is from RNAcentral.
CCUACGGGAGGCAGCAGUGAGGAAUAUUGGUCAAUGGCCGGAAGGCUGAACCAGCCAUGCCGCGUGAAGGGCAGGGCCCUAGGGGCGUUAAACUUCUUUUGUGCGGGAGCAAGAAUGGUCACGUGUGGCCAGACGAGAGUACCGUACGAAGAAGCAGCGGCGAACCCCGGGCCAGCAGCCGCGGUAAUACGGGGGAUGCAAGCGUUAUCCGGAGUUAGGGGGUUUCAAGGGGGCGUCGGCUGGGAGGUAAGUCAGCGGUGAACUGCCCCCGCUCAACGGGGUGAAGUGCCAUUGAUACUGCCUUGCUGGACUGCGGCUGCCGUGGGAGGAAUGUGUGGUGUAGCGGU